GGCAAAGGUGGACUCCAGUGCA
This 22-nucleotide non-coding RNA is filed under the name Arabidopsis thaliana (thale cress). Lineage: Eukaryota; Viridiplantae; Streptophyta; Magnoliopsida; Brassicales; Brassicaceae. The record is from RNAcentral.